This 1425-nucleotide ribosomal RNA is filed under the name uncultured bacterium. RNAcentral describes it as "bacterial SSU rRNA". It matches the Rfam family "Bacterial small subunit ribosomal RNA". The record is from RNAcentral.
GAUGAACGCUGGCGGCGUGCCUAACACAUGCAAGUCGAGCGAUUCUCUUCGGAGAAGAGCGGCGGACGGGUGAGUAACGCGUGGGUAACCUGCCCUGUACACACGGAUAACAUACCGAAAGGUAUGCUAAUACGAGAUAAUAUACUUUUAUCGCAUGGUAGAAGUAUCAAAGCUCCGGCGGUACAGGAUGGACCCGCGUCUGAUUAGCUAGUUGGUAAGGUAACGGCUUACCAAGGCGACGAUCAGUAGCCGACCUGAGAGGGUGAUCGGCCACAUUGGAACUGAGACACGGUCCAAACUCCUACGGGAGGCAGCAGUGGGGAAUAUUGCACAAUGGGCGAAAGCCUGAUGCAGCAACGCCGCGUGAGCGAUGAAGGCCUUCGGGUCGUAAAGCUCUGUCCUCAAGGAAGAUAAUGACGGUACUUGAGGAGGAAGCCCCGGCUAACUACGUGCCAGCAGCCGCGGUAAUACGUAGGGGGCUAGCGUUAUCCGGAAUUACUGGGCGUAAAGGGUGCGUAGGUGGUUUCUUAAGUCAGAGGUGAAAGGCUACGGCUCAACCGUAGUAAGCCUUUGAAACUGGGAAACUUGAGUGCAGGAGAGGAGAGUGGAAUUCCUAGUGUAGCGGUGAAAUGCGUAGAUAUUAGGAGGAACACCAGUUGCGAAGGCGGCUCUCUGGACUGUAACUGACACUGAGGCACGAAAGCGUGGGGAGCAAACAGGAUUAGAUACCCUGGUAGUCCACGCCGUAAACGAUGAGUACUAGCUGUCGGAGGUUACCCCCUUCGGUGGCGCAGCUAACGCAUUAAGUACUCCGCCUGGGAAGUACGCUCGCAAGAGUGAAACUCAAAGGAAUCGACGGGGACCCGCACAAGUAGCGGAGCAUGUGGUUUAAUUCGAAGCAACGCGAAGAACCUUACCUAAGCUUGACAUCCUUUUGACCGAUGCCUAAUCGCAUCUUUCCCUUCGGGGACAGAAGUGACAGGUGGUGCAUGGUUGUCGUCAGCUCGUGUCGUGAGAUGUUGGGUUAAGUCCCGCAACGAGCGCAACCCUUGCCUUUAGUUGCCAGCAUUAAGUUGGGCACUCUAGAGGGACUGCCAGGGAUAACCUGGAGGAAGGUGGGGAUGACGUCAAAUCAUCAUGCCCCUUAUGCUUAGGGCUACACACGUGCUACAAUGGGUGGUACAGAGGGCAGCCAAGUCGUGAGGCGGAGCUAAUCCCUUAAAGCCAUUCUCAGUUCGGAUUGUAGGCUGAAACUCGCCUACAUGAAGCUGGAGUUACUAGUAAUCGCAGAUCAGAAUGCUGCGGUGAAUGCGUUCCCGGGUCUUGUACACACCGCCCGUCACACCACGGGAGUUGGGGGCGCCCGAAGCCGGAUUGCUAACCUUUUGGAAGCGUCCGUCGAAGGUGAAAUCAAUAACUGGGGUG